UCUUACAGCAAAGUGAUAGAUAACAAGA
This 28-nucleotide non-coding RNA is filed under the name Rattus norvegicus (Norway rat). Lineage: Eukaryota; Metazoa; Chordata; Mammalia; Rodentia; Muridae. The record is from RNAcentral.